CCUACGGGAGGCAGCAGUGGGGGAUAUUGCACAAUGGGGGGAACCCUGACCGAGCAACGCCGCGUGAAGGAAGAAGGAAUUCGUUCUGUAAACUUCUGUUAUAAAGGAAGAAAGACGGAUGGAGGAAAUGACAUCCGAGUGACGGUACUUUAUGAGAAAGCCACGGCUAACUACGUGCCAGCAGCCGCGGUAAUACGUAGGUGGCAAGCGUUAUCCGGAAUUAUUGGGCGUAAAGAGGGAGCAGGCGGCAGCAAAGGUCUGUGGUGAAAGACUGAAGCUUAACUUCAGUAAGCCAUAGAAACCGGGCAGCUAGAGUGCAGGAGAGGAUCGUGGAAUUCCAUGUGUAGCGGUGAAAUGCGUAGAUAUAUGGAGGAACACCAGUGGCGAAGGCGACGAUCUGGUCUGCAACUGACGCUGAGGCUCGAAAGCAUGGGUAGCGAACAGGAUUAGAUACCCCGGUAGUC
This 464-nucleotide ribosomal RNA is filed under the name uncultured bacterium. RNAcentral's name for it is "partial 16S ribosomal RNA". It matches the Rfam family "Bacterial small subunit ribosomal RNA", at positions 338 to 795 of the family's 1533-position model. The record is from RNAcentral.